Molecule: RNA transcript, 499 nt
Organism: Eleginops maclovinus (Patagonian blennie)
Lineage: Eukaryota; Metazoa; Chordata; Actinopteri; Perciformes; Eleginopidae
Gene: ost4
Gene name: oligosaccharyltransferase complex subunit 4 (non-catalytic)
Exons: 3
Source: RefSeq, a predicted model, not a curated record
AAGUAAUAGGGAUAAUAGUUGUUGAUGUGUCCUGACCCUGUCCUGUCUUUGUUUAAUUUGUGUUUAAUGAUCAGAGGUCCGCUUGAGACUGCUUCAUAUUUUCGAUGCUCUUAAACGUGACGUGGCUUUCCCCUUCAACCGGAAGUAAGCGACUGAUUUGCCUGUUUGAUGCUGAGCAGCUGAAGUAUCGCUUGAACCAAGAGUAAAAGCUCCAUUUUAAGGCAUAAUAAUGGUGACGGACGUGCAACUGGCCAUAUUUGCCAACAUGCUUGGCGUGUCAUUGUUCCUGCUGGUUGUGUUGUACCACUAUGUUGCUGUCAAUAACCCCAAGAAGUUGGAGUAGAGUCCCUCCAGAAUGAUUGGAGAGGCGAGAUGGGGGUCAAUGCUACCACCAAGGAAACAACAUUCUAUACAUCCAGUCCCAGGAGAUGAAUUUAUUUGUAUGAUUGCACAGUAGUGUUUUUUUCUAAUAAAAAUGUGUGAAUGCCAUUUGCCUAAA